This 76-nucleotide transfer RNA is filed under the name Escherichia coli. RNAcentral describes it as "tRNA-Val". It matches the Rfam family "tRNA". From Rfam's summary of the family: Transfer RNA (tRNA) molecules are approximately 80 nucleotides in length. Their secondary structure includes four short double-helical elements and three loops (D, anti-codon, and T loops). The record is from RNAcentral. Lineage: Bacteria; Pseudomonadati; Pseudomonadota; Gammaproteobacteria; Enterobacterales; Enterobacteriaceae. RNAcentral also lists the same sequence under 17 other names.
GGGUGAUUAGCUCAGCUGGGAGAGCACCUCCCUUACAAGGAGGAGGUCGGCGGUUCGAUCCCGUCAUCACCCACCA